AACGAACGCUGGCGGCAUGCCUAACACAUGCAAGUCGAACGAAGUCUUCGGACUUAGUGGCGCACGGGUGCGUAACGCGUGGGAAUCUGCCCUUGGGUACGGAAUAACUCAGAGAAAUUUGUGCUAAUACCGUAUAAUGUCUUCGGACCAAAGAUUUAUCGCCCAAGGAUGAGCCCGCGUAGGAUUAGCUAGUUGGUGAGGUAAAAGCUCACCAAGGCGACGAUCCUUAGCUGGUCUGAGAGGAUGAUCAGCCACACUGGGACUGAGACACGGCCCAGACUCCUACGGGAGGCAGCAGUGGGGAAUAUUGGACAAUGGGCGAAAGCCUGAUCCAGCAAUGCCGCGUGAGUGAUGAAGGCCUUAGGGUUGUAAAGCUCUUUUACCCGGGAUGAUAAUGACAGUACCGGGAGAAUAAGCUCCGGCUAACUCCGUGCCAGCAGCCGCGGUAAUACGGAGGGAGCUAGCGUUGUUCGGAAUUACUGGGCGUAAAGCGCGCGUAGGCGGUUUUUUAAGUCAGAGGUGAAAGCCCAGUGCUCAACACUGGAACUGCCUUUGAAACUGGAAAACUUGAAUCUUGGAGAGGUCAGUGGAAUUCCGAGUGUAGAGGUGAAAUUCGUAGAUAUUCGGAAGAACACCAGUGGCGAAGGCGACUGACUGGACAA
Molecule: ribosomal RNA, 662 nt
Filed under: uncultured Alphaproteobacteria bacterium
Lineage: Bacteria; Pseudomonadati; Pseudomonadota; Alphaproteobacteria
Description: bacterial SSU rRNA
Rfam family: Bacterial small subunit ribosomal RNA
Source: RNAcentral